This 663-nucleotide long non-coding RNA is filed under the name Ixodes scapularis (black-legged tick). RNAcentral describes it as "uncharacterized LOC115321934". Lineage: Eukaryota; Metazoa; Arthropoda; Arachnida; Ixodida; Ixodidae. The record is from RNAcentral.
CAAGUAGCUCAAGCCAAGCAAGGUCGAAGCCAGGUUGACCACGUGACCGUAUGUCAACGGACCGUCAAGGCCUGUUUCAUCGGACCGCUCUGCCGAUCUCUCGGCGUGGAGGAAACGUAAACAAAGGAAAUGUACUCUCUUGUCCAUUUUUUGGCGGAAAAUGACGUCGCAGUUGUCCCUACCUGUUGGGUGUGCAAUGGCUGCACGGCAUGGCCACCCUACAAAUCAAAUCGGUUGAUGAUGGCAAUUAGAGAGCGUGAAGAGCUUUCGACUGACUGGGCCACAUUCUCCUGUCAGGUGAUGGCAUCAUGUUUGACAUAUGAAGAUGCAAAGUACAAAGAAAAAAAAUUCGGAAGCGACGUCCGACCUAACAUUGAAUAAUGAAGAGCGGGAGAAGAGAAAAAGGAAGAGACUGCAGCAUACUCUUUCUUCAUUUGAGGAUGAGGACUUCUAUGACCAAGAUGAACGACGUAACACUCAGCCAGCCCCUCAACUUCCAGAACGUGCACCAGAGCCCAAGCAAAAACGCACACGUGAGCUGUGCGCACCUGCUUUAAACAGAAGGCAGAAAACAAUGAGCCAGCCAUCAUCGUGCAGGAAGCCGACGCCAAAUGGGCUGCUGCUGAAUCGGUCAGGCAUGCACCAGCUAGGACCAAGAAAAUG